CGCCCCCUGCGGUGUACGAGCGCGGGCUAAGUAUUCUUGAGCCUCAACGUAAUCGCCAGGGGAUAAGGCGUGGAGUGGCUGGUGUGCAUGUCCGCCCUGGUAGCGGAAAGCCUAAGGCGCUCCCGAUAUCCCCACCUGGACCUCAGGGUUCAAGGGCGAUGCCCGCACGGCACAGGCGGGGGGCGU
This is a non-coding RNA of Alkalilimnicola ehrlichii MLHE-1, 186 nucleotides long. It matches the Rfam family "6S / SsrS RNA". From Rfam's summary of the family: E. coli 6S RNA was the first non coding RNA to be sequenced, but its function was unknown until recently. It consists of 184 nucleotides that fold into an extended hairpin structure with a large single-stranded internal bulge. Lineage: Bacteria; Pseudomonadati; Pseudomonadota; Gammaproteobacteria; Chromatiales; Ectothiorhodospiraceae. The record is from Rfam.